This is a non-coding RNA of Phrynosoma platyrhinos (Desert horned lizard), 73 nucleotides long. Lineage: Eukaryota; Metazoa; Chordata; Lepidosauria; Squamata; Phrynosomatidae. The record is from the annotation of a GenBank genome assembly.
AGCUAGUGUGGCCUAGUGGUUUGAGUGUUGGACUACAACCCUGGAGUUCAGGGUUCAAUUCUCCGCUUGGCUA